CAAGGCGGUGUCUUCUGAUAUUGCUUCCGGCCAGUGGCACCUUUUGUGGAGCACCAAUAAGCCCUACGCCGCGCUGCAUUCGUAACCGUUUUGCACAGAGCCAUGUCGAUAUGGAACUCUUCUCUUUUGGUCCCCAGAACUCACCAACCGCCACACCCCGUUUCCUGAAUAUCCCCUGCAUACAUGUGACUAACCAAAAAAUGGUGAACGCUGGACAUGUGAUGUAUGGGUGGGUGCCCUGCCUUGCCAAAAUAUGUGAUCAUGGAAUGAUUUGAUGAACCUCCAUAAGCUUUUUUUUUGUAUUAUUAGUGGGUGCUUUUUUUUCUCAUGCGUGGUUUGAGUCGUUCUUAUGGCAUAGUUGGGGUUACAUUCUGCUGCUAUUUUGCUUGUCUUUUCCCCUGUUUUGGUCGUUGGAGCUUUCGCUGUCCCACUGCCGUGCGGGUAUCUUAUUCUUAUCCAGCGCUGCUGCACUAAACUCUGGUCCUUGCACGCAUUUGCCCCCUUCUUAGGACAGGGUUCUUCUACACCACGUGCGCAGAGUUUCCCAAAUGACGCUUUACUACAAAAAGUGCUUGGGUUAUAAAAAUCAUCUUCAUGAACUAUAAGAUUGAUGCCCACAACAACAUUUUCAGUUAUUUUUACCCAGGAAUCACAUUUGUGUUUCAUUCGGAAUACCUCAGCGUGAUACGCAUUAGAAUGCUUGUCGCUGUCCCUUCUCACGAUAGUUGAGCUGUUUUUUCCUACAAGAAUAAUACUCCCUCCGUCCCGUAAACACUGGGACGAAGGGAGUAACAUAUAGUUAAGACUCUCUUUGGAUCGAAGAAAUUUCACCGGACUUUUGGAAGAUUACAUAUAGUUAAGACUCUUCAUCAACGAUGGCUGCUGUUUUGUCUACUAUGAGACAUUAACACGACGACUUUUCAACUGUCUGCUACAACAGGGUUUGCCUGACUCCGGUGAGGAAGGGACGACGACACGCAUUCGACUUGCUCGUUGCAAGAUGGUUCAUGGAUGUGGUUGUAAUUUUUGUUACAUCUGAUGUUCUUUGUACAUGAUUGAUUAUGAAUAGAUUGAAGUUUUCUAAAAAAAAAGUUCCAUUAAUCCAAAAGAAGCCCUUGAGAUGCAAAUGGUAUAAUGAUAAGGAAGUUUAAAACAAGAGGAGGGCCACAUGAAAGAAGAGAGGAGAGCCCAUUUGUUGGUCGGUCCCACUCUCUCAACAGCAGGGGAAGCGGGCGGCAGCAGGGAGCAGGCUCCCGGGAAUCCAAUGGCCAUGACCCAGUCGUCCUUCGCUCGCCGCCCACCCCCCUCCGCGGCGCUCACCUCUCCCUCCUCCUCCUCCUCCUGGUCUCCCCCGAGGCACGGGCCGCGCCGCCGCCGGGCCCUCACGGCCGCGUCCUCCCUCCAUUUCCGGCCGGAGGACGUCGCCGAGCUUGCGCACAACAAGGUUCGCCGUAUAACUAGCUUAACGGACUGCUGCGUUCAUUUUCCGAUUGAGUAAGGACUCGGGCUCGUGUUUCAAGGUCUUGAUUGCGGCGACGGUGGCCGGUGUGAUCGGGCAGCUGGCCAAGCCCUUCACUUCCGGCAGGGGUGGGGGCAAAAUCGACAUCGUCAGGGUCGCCGCCCAGUCAGGGGGGAUGCCCUCCACUCACUCAGCGGUGAGACCAUCGUCUACCGACCAUUAAUUCCUUCAGUUUGUUGUGUUGCUGCUUUACUGGAGUGAGCAAGAGCGUGUUUGUCUCUUCUUAGGCCCUGCCUGGGAUAAGGUUAUGCUCCUGUUACAGGGGUCAAAUUCUUCCAGAGGCUAUUCUCACCAUCACAUUUCUACAACUUUAUAAACGGGCACUCCACAUUUACAUGUAGUGGUAGCACUAUAAGACGAUGAGAAAAAUUUAACAUCAAAUGAAUUUUUUAAUGAUUGUUAUUUUAUAUUGCUGAUGAUGUGGAUUGUUCUUAUCUCUUGUUGGUUGAACUUUGGAAGAGAAUUAGAGCCAAAGGCUUUUCGUCCCUUCCAUUGCAAGAAUGAAACAGCAUAAUGGUUUGUAAAGUUGGGCUGCACGAAUUCUAGGCAACAACCAGUAAGAAAUUAAGAAUGGAGAUAGAACGGAAAUGUGGAUUUUCCACAAUUACUUGUGUUCGCAACCCAUAUUGUGAAUAUGCAUCUCAAUGUUUCAAAACAUUUUGAAAUAAAAUCUUGGUUGUACUACAUAUUAUAUACCAGUUUUACAUACAUGAUUUCGUGUCGUUGCACGAUUCACGAGUGAUCACAUUUUUUGGAUGACUUAUUUUUGUAAAUGCUCAUACUGCAGCAAAUUAUGCAUUUGUAUUUUCCCUUGAAAGCUCACAAACUGUAUUUUCACAAUGGGCCGUGCCUGCAACUAGUUGCAGAUUUUCGUUUGACGAUUGUACAUAUCUUCUCUGUCACGCUGAAUAAUUAACUUGUCUCCGGUGGCCAUCUAUCUAAUGAAUAGUCUCUUAAAUAUAUGCUUCUGAAGUACAAGCACAACACAAUUCGAAAUGAAGCAUUAGUGCUAAAAAAACAUCGUAAAAAGAGAAAAAAAAUUAAGGACACAUGGGACAUGUAUUUAAAAGGGUGAACACAAAUCAUGAGAUAUCACAGGGAGCACAAAUGUGACUGUCAAUCAUACGAGGAAAGUUACAACCAGGGAAUUUUGCAACAAGGCACCCACUAAUCCUGUAUGGCCACCGAAAGCAUUAUAAGGCAGCUGAAUUACUGUGAGUUGGAAAAGGGGACAGAUCCAGAAACUAUACUUACGCACUACUCUCCCUAUGUACAGAGGCUGACUACUCUUUGCUCCCAUGAAUCGUCAUGCUUUAUCCAUUUGCACCAUCAUGAUUAGAAUCACAAAUCAAUACUUAGGAUGGUGUUUAGAUUUUUGAGAUGCUUUGUUAGUAAAAAUGAAAGGUUACAUUAGGAAACAUAUACCGUGGAAUAGGAAUCAAAGGUAUCAUCACAACAUGUUACUUCUUUAUACAGGUGCCACUGAUUACGAGUCGAGGGACUAGUCGAGACUAGUCGACAGACUAGUCUACGAGUCGCAGUUUGAGUGCCGACUACAAAUCUCUUGUAGACUACUUGGUUGAGUCGAGCAGUCGACAGACUAGUCUGGACUAGUCGAGCUAUUUGAGUCGACCGACUCAAAAUUCUGAGGGGAUAAGUCACCCAGUCCGGCCGGAGCUCAUGCUUGGGCGGCGGCCAUUGUCGUGGCACGUAGGCGUGCGCGGCCCUGAGAAGAAAGAGAAGUAAGAGAGAUAGAGGAGAGGAGAGGAGGAGACAUGGCGGUGGUCGAUGGCAGCGGCCGGGGUUGGCGGAAGGCGGCUGGAGGCACGGGUCGUGCGCGCGCGUGCUCCUGUGCGUGAUGGUGCUGGCGGCGGCAAUGGGAUCGAUCGGGAGCUAGGGCUCCAGUGACUGGGAGGCUAAGUAGGCUGGCCACUUGGGCCCAAAUGGGCCAGCUGGGGGGUGUUGCGUGGCGCUGGGCUGGGCCUGGCGAGCAUCGCCUAGCACUCCUGGUUUUAUUGCAUACUGUACUGUUAGUAAUAUACUACAUACUACUACUAGGUAUUAAUAGUUGAGUACUACAGUACCAUGUCGACUAGUCCAGCACUAGUCUAGACUAGUCACGAUUAGUCUAUGAGUCUCAACCUUGGAACGACUCGUCGACUCUUCGACUCGUAAACCUUGACAGGUGCACAAUCAUAUAUAUUUGAGAGGUAAAGGCCAAAGUGACAAUUCAAUUUUGUCUGAAUCUGACUAUUAUUCUUCAUAUUGUAGGCAGUUGUGGCAGUGACUACUUCGCUUGCGCUAGAAAGGUUAGCUUCUUUAACAUGCUUUAGCUCAGGGCUGACAUGUUUCUGCUUGUUUUUGUCCUUAGUGUUUGUGUUUUUAUUCUUAAUUCGGGGUUUAGAAUGCAGGGGGUUUGCUGACUCCAUAUUCGGGAUGUCGGUGGUAUUUGCGUCAAUUGUAAUGUAUGAUGCUCAGGUAUGGUAGGUUUAAUGCUUUUAUUUUCUCUCUUAUGUCGACUAAAUUAUCAAUCUGGCCAUUUAUCAACAUCAGUCAGCUUAUUGAUCAUUCAAGUGUGCCGGUGAUGUGAUUCAGCUUUUUUGCAUGUCCAAUCUGCCAAAUCCCAAAAAGUAUUGUAAACUCAAAUUUGAUAUUGAUUUGAUCGAGACUUGGUACGAGCAUGAGAACAUGUUGCAUUGUCAGGGAUUUGACUCUAUUGGUACCCAGCGAACUCUUCAUAUCUGCUGUAUUGUGCUAGAUCUCCCCGUUGCUGUUGUGUUUUUUCAUGAAACUUGCAGAACUCAAGUUUGACAUUGAUUUGAUCGAGACCUAGUACAAAUGCUUGAACAUGAUCUAUUAUCAGGGAUGUAACUCUCUUAAUACGCAGCGGACUCUUCAUUUCUGCUGUAUUGGCCUAGAUCUCCCCAUUGCUGUUGCGGUUUCUUUUUCACGAAACUGGGUGGUCAAAGGUGUUAGAAGUUUAACUAUCAUGUUUCACACGCAUCUCUUAAGAUGAAAAAAAAAGAAUCCAGAAAGAAAUGACAUUGGUCUGAUACAUUUGUUUUCUGCCUCUGUCCUCUUGAAUCUGUUAGACAUGCCAUGUGGACUGCCUCUAAUUUCCUCACACUAUGCUGUACUAGUAUAUUUGCAAUCCCAAUACUUCCAAAAAUGGUGAACAUGCUGAGCUGCACUUUGUAGUAUGGAUGUAUGAUGCCCCUGAUAUUAGCUGAUAUAUUCUGACGAAAAGAAAUGUCAGUUUGCACUGAAGUACGAAGCAGAAGCACUAUCACUAUCAUGUACCUUUACAUGAAGCGUGACUUUCAGGGCUAUCAAUCUGAGAUUUUCCCCCAUUGCUUCUGAUUUUGUUUCCAUCUGUGCACAUAUAAAACCAGUGCAUGUGUGAUCUAGCCUCCACUAAGUAAUUGUAUAUAUCGUUGUCAGUGCCACCGAAUUCUUUGACAGUGCAUUUGAACAUGGUUAAUUUCUUCGCAGCUUGGUGUGGGAUGCAGCUGUAAAAAGUUUGACCAGUUCAGCUAGUACCCAUGUUUUCUUUGUGAGGCACUGUAGUGGGUAUCCCUGUCAGUUGCAAGUUUUUAGGGUACAUGGGCAGUACGUGUUCCCAUCUAUUUAUCCUCCAUACUGCAUUUUAUGCCAAACUAAAAUCUGAGCUUUGUUAAUGGCCCGCAAAAAUCUCACACGAAGCUUGAUAGCGUCGUUUCAGAUUAGAAAUUUCUUGUGCGCUUUCACAAGCAAGUAUUAAAACCACCGUAGCUAAUGCUCAUGCCAUGCUUAUUUGUUGUUUUCAAUAGGGAGUCAGAAGAGAGGUGGGCAAGCACGCAAGGCUUUUGAACAAGCUAUGGACCCUACGGGAGCAUACGACGACUCAAGUUCAGGAGGACGGUGGUGGCCAGGUGAAUUCCACCUCUGAACCCCUCCCUGCAAACCGCGAGAUGGCCACGGAGCUUGUCUCCGUUCCUCGGGACGCAUCUAUGUCGCAGUGUUCAAACGCCGCGCCUUCCUCGACGCGCACGGAUGCGACCAGAUCGCCGAGAUGGAACUCCCUCCAAAGCUCAGAGCCAGAGCUAACUGAGUUGACAGAGGAGUAUAACCGGCUGAGCGAGUCCGUCGGCCACACGGAAGCGCAGGUCACGGUCGGUGCCUUGCUAGGCUUUGUUGUAAGCUUAGCCGUCCACGCGACACUGUAACAACAACCACUUCCGUUAUUCUUUUGUUACAACAUUGACCACAUGUAUGGUAGUUCUUUACGUGAAGAAACAACACAAUUGGUGGAUUGAUUGCUACCACCACUAUAGAUAUGUUUCAUGUUUGCAAACGCUUUAUUUGACUCUGCACCGGUUAACCGGAGCUUGAGCCUGGACGGUUGCUGACUUGAUGCUACCACAUUGGACAUUGCAACGCGGCAGCUACCGUUUCUUCUGUGAGAGUAGAGAGAGAAGUAGCUUCAAUAGUAGUAUAUGUUUAUGUUGAUGUACUCAUCAACAGGGACUUUGAUGUGCGUGGUGAGACGAUUAGUUAACUCAGACGGUGAGGAGGAGGAAGCGUGACGCAUCUGGCGUUGCUUUCUCUUACUCUAACACUGUUACAUAAAUAGGUAAAUUCAUUGGUCUCAGUAAACAAAGGCACCGCACGGCGAAGAGCUCCGUCUACGUGCAGGGGCUCAAAUUGAAUUCGAAAAUGCUUCACACACGACAGUGUUUGGACGAUAACUGCACGAUCGACGGAUCCAGCGGCCGCUGCUGGGCUGUGCUCGACAUUCUUCGGCUGGAUUUAACCGUCGUGCACAAGUCGUCCAAACUUUAUCGUCCCCAUAGCACCGCUCAAUUGAAUUGGACCUGCAGUGUACAGCUGAUCAUGCCAAGUGUGCAAGUAAUGGAUGGUGGCAGCGAGAUUCCGACUCAGGCUGUUCAGAAACACAAAGGGGCCUUUCUGAAGUUGUAACACAAGAAAGAAAGAAAGAAAGAAAGAAAGAAAGAAAGAAAGAAAAGGUAACAAGUGACCUAAUUGCCCAAUUUAGGAGGGCAAAGUUCCAACUCUUGUAUAAGCAUGGGUGUAAAGUAACUAAUUCUUGUUGAGAAGGUAAAAUGCAUAUAUCUGACAUACCAAGAUUUUGUGUGUGUAAUUAUGGCACCUCUUUUACCCUCAUCACUUCGGUAAUAAAAACCUACCGUAAUAACAUAAUUAGCUAAAAAUUAAAUAAAAAUACCAAUAAUUUUACAGAAGAAUCAAUAGAAAAUAUUCUUUUCGGGAGAAAACACUCAGAUCUAUUAACCAAACCGACGCUACAAACAACCCUAGAAACUAAACAAGUUAAAUUGAAGUCCCUGGGGGGCGACUCUCUUCUUCACCUUGAACGACCCGGUGCACAGGCACAAGCCACUCGAACACCGGAGCUAGCCUAACAUUGUUGAUAGUGGACAGGAAGUCAUAGAGGUCAUGGACCAUCACCCCGGAGAAGAAGUCGGUCUAAAGGACUCUACUGUUGCCGAUGUAUCGAUUUUUUUUCAUGAAUUUUUGUCAGACUUCUGGAUUUGGCUGUGUGCAUCUUAAUUAUGCAGAGGCCGGGUGUUACUCAUAAUGCUUUGUAUCCGGUUGAUGCUACAUUUUGAGAUAAUAAAGUCGCCCUUUAUCGAAAAAAGAAGAGCUGUAGAUCAAAGAGAUUGACCUCCAAAUAAUCUUGCACGCCUCACUCCCGCCGCGUACAGAGGCCGAACCUACGUGACAACGAUGAGGCCGGAGGACCCAACUAUGAAGGGAAGCUGCCGCCGCCGACAAACCCUAGCCUCACCAUCUAGAAUGGACAACAGAAACCUAUGCUCGUGAACCAUCAAUGUUGUCGUAGGCAACACGGACGAGAUGGGAUAUCUCGAGGAAUAAUUAUUCGUCGGCAGAUGGCAACACCACUAUAAAUGAUGCAUCACCAGAGACGUCUUUAUUGCAGAGCCAAUAGAGGAGGAGGGGGGCGGCGACCUACCAAAGGAGGGGAGUGGUAGUGUGGUGCGCCGAGGAUCGCCUCCCACUAGGAUUAGGAGAGGAAACGGUUUGGGGCUUGACAAAAUUUCAAUAGAAAAAGCUUACUCUACUCAUUUUGGCUAGCCAAAAUACAAAGGGCCAAAGUUUAUCUAGUGUCAUUCCGUGAUACAAACCCUGCUAGAUCAAAAGCUUGACACAUGAAACCGAUACAUUUACGAUAGUAAUCUUGCCUUGAUAUUUACAGUAGAUGCAGGAUGAAGAAGAUUUUGCCACACCUGAGGAAUUGGAUGUAAUGUUUUUAGUGUAAGAAUGUGUUUGUAAAGACUUGUUAUACUUAAUAUACGGCCUUAGUCCUUUUUACAAUAUUUUUUGACGUUGAGUUCUAGCAAUAAUUUGAAAUAUGGCACCUUCAGCAACAUGGAAUAUUAGGGGGGGAAAACAUCGCCAUCCAUUGCGGAAAUUAAAAAGGCUAGCUCGAUAUAUCCCAUUGCCCAACUUAACAAGCCUAGCUCGAUAUAUUCCAUUGCAGAACUGUUUACCACGGCGAGUAAAACAAUUUUACCCCUUUCUCAUGAAGAAAGUUUAUUUUUGUAUGAAGAAUUGAGUUAAUUAUUCCCUAGUUAUUUGAAUUUUGUUCACCUUAUGUUUUCAAAUGAUCUUGUAAACUCACCCUUAUGUUUGAAUUUGGAUUUAUACUCCCCUUUUAUUGCUUGAACAGAAUGGGAAAUCAAAGACAAAGGUUUUGUCAUAGUUAAUAGGAUAUGAUAACCAUUGAUAUGUGCCUCAAACAUAUAUGAUCAUCUCAUCAUGAAUAGUAAACAAAACUAUACAUUCUCUUUCCUCACAAAAAGAACAAGAAAUCAUACGUUUUCUUCACCUUACUCCAAUCCAAAAUUCAGAUGACCAAACUGAAUUAUUUGUCUUCCCUAAGUAUAUUAUCGUUUUAUAUUUUUUUCUCAUAAAGCCACCGAACCAAUGUUCUUAGUUCUAAUCCUGAACUUUUUUCUCCCACUCGAUCCCAAGUUAGUAAUUUGAAAAUCAAAUUAAAACCUCAGCUUGAUACCAUUCAAACCAAUCCAUUGAUGUUUUUGAUCUAAAUAAAUCAAAUCAUUCAUGAGCACCCUUGAAUCCUAUAUCAUGUAUACCUAAAUAGUUGAUUCCCACUAACUCUAAUUCUCUCAACAUGCAUUUUUCUUACGGGUUCUCUCAACAUACAAUUGCCAACUCAUCAUUCCACUAUGCAUGGAAAAAGGCCUACCUUACAUGCAUCAUGCAUGCUGCUAUAAAUAUUCUUACUAAAAAAUGUAAUAAAUAUUCUAAAACUAUACAAUAAUUAAAUACAAUAAAAUGUAUGUAUUUUACUUCCAAAUUCUCAUGUGUUAAUUCAAAUACUAAUUAUUCAUUCAACCAAAUCUGAUUGAAAUAAAUGCAAGCAAUUUCCGCAACAACCCGCGGAGUAUCAUCUUUAGUAAACAAAGGAAUAAAUGGAAACCAGAUACUCUGAAGUUAUGAAAGGGAACAGGUACCCACAGUACAGGGCAUAUAACAGCCCCCAAGGCCCUACUCUCUCUUCACACUCAUAUAUCUCCAACAAGCAAACCUUCGAAGCAAGUCCAGCCAAAUUGAAACUUCAAAACUAUAUCCUCAUCGUCUCCAACCAGGCUAGCUCCACAACAGAGCGCAAAAGACACCACCGUAUGCAUUGCUAGAUUUUUCUUUGUAAAUGUGACUUCGAGUUUGCCAUUAAUUUGUUGAAUGAAUAUAGAACCUUAGUGGAGCAAAUUAACUGCCCUACCUGCUCUAAUAGGUAUAGUGUAGCUAAACAAUACUAGCUCCAAAUUUUGUAGGUUAAGCAAAUUAAGGCAAACUCGAAGCCACAUAUACAAAAGUUUCCUUUAUACACAUUUAGAUGCAUUCCGUACCAAGGUAGAUCGACGAUCAAAUGAACCAGGUCUUAACAAAAACAUGAAAAACAGGAGCUGAUCAGAUCAACAGUACUAUAUAGCAUGGCAGCUAGCUAGGCAAAGCUCCAUUUAGCUACUUGGAGAACCUGAGGAGGUCGGCGGCCUCACAGCCGAGGUACUGCAGUGGCAUCCUCUGCAUGGAUGAAGUGCUGCUGCCUCCAAGCUGCUCCAUGAGUUGCUGCUGAUGCUGCUGCUGAUAAGGUGCCAUUGAUGCCGCUGCUGCGGCGGCAACCUUGCCCUGGAAGAGCUGGUCCAGGUUCUGGUGCGAGGCGAGGAGCUUGUCCAGGAUGGACCAAUCCGUGCCGGGGAAGCGGGGGUCGCCUCCACCGCCACCGCCACCGUGGUGGAGCAUUCCGUUGGCGCCGCUCGACGUGAGCUUCAUCAGGUUCUGUGAGCACUCGAGCUCGUGCGAGCUCAUGGCGACGGCGGCCGGUGCGCCGGGGAGGAAGGAGGAGAGCGUCUGCUGCUCGUGCUCGGCGCUCAUGAGCUGCGGGAGCUGCAUGGACGCGUCGAAGGAAGGGAAGUCGUAGUGCUGCUGCUGCUGCUGCAUGAGGUGGCCGGGGUUGUGCAUGAUGUGCUUCUGGUCCGUGAUCAUUUGCAUUGCGCCGGCGGUGGAAGAUGGAACCGGGAAAGGGUGGAGGAGCUCGUCGUCGUCGUACCCCGCCAUCUCCGCCGGGUUCACGCCUCUCGUGUAGCUCUUCUUGGUGAAAACCCUACACACCACCCAGCCAUCUUCCUGCAUUUCGGACCAAAUUAUACUGGUAAGAAAAGACAGCCCGGUAUCUGUGGGACUUGCUUUCAGUUCGUGUCUGAUGAAUGCUUUGCCUACCUGGACCUCGACGUUGUCUUCGUCUAGGCGGUACUCGUGCAUGAUCCAGUCGGUCUUCUUGCCGUGGGGAGCCCUCCCGACGUAGAACACCAGCGUCUUCCUCAUGCCGAUCCUCCUGGAGCCGCUGCCGAGGAAGAUGGCCUUGUCGCGGCCCGUCGCUUUCCAGAACCCCGCCGUGGUGGCCCGGUUCGUCCUCGUCCCCGUCGGGUACUUCUUGUCCUUGUGGCUGAAGAAGUACCACUCGUUCUGCGGCCCCGUGCCUAUCCUGCACCGAUCUGCCAUUACAUGACACGACACAUGCAUAUAGUUUGUCAGCACGAUUGAGUUAAUGUUUAUCAAUUAGCUGCCUGAAUACGGGAUGCCUCGGCCGGCUUGGUCACCUACCUUUGAGGUCCCAUGGCUCGAGCUUGUUGAGGUCGAUCUCCCUGAUGACGUCAAGAUCUAUGGCCUCAUAGGCGACCUUCUUCCUCAGGUAGUAGUAGAGGAGCUCCUCGUCCGUCGGAUGGAACCGGAAGCCCGGUGGCACCGACAGCGCGCCGCCACUCGGAUGCAUGCUGGCUCUCUCCCUCGCCGGCCCUAAGAUCGAUCUGAGAAGAAGAAGAAGCAAACACCAUGUGUGUGGAACCAAUCAGCAAAACCAAAUCAGAAGCUCCUUCCACCUUCCUCAUCAUGCAUAGAGGUAAUAAUAUAUAACAAAAGGAAGAGCACAAACCUUGGAAAAUCUCCUGUUGCCUUUUGUGCCCAAACCAACGAAGGAUAGAGAGAGCGAGAGAGAAGCAAGAGAAACAAGAGGAAGAUGAUGGUGCAAGGGAAGUGAAGAGGAUGUGCAUGGGUUAUAUGGGAAGGGGCAGCUGCGGGGCAGCAGGGUUAGCCAGUCCAAGAUGCUCACCAGAGACAAACCCUAGGUCUAUAAAAUGUUGUAUAUACUGCCUGGGCUGUGCAUGGAUGGGUUUGAGCUGGCCAUUGGUGCUAUACUAUAUAGGUAGCUAAAUUCUUUACGAGAGCAUUGACCAUACUGAUAGGAUCACAGAACUAACGUCCAUGCACAUGUAGUAAUAUGGACCAGGCAUGUCUUGGGGCGGUUUUGGAAGGACUAAAUGAAAAGAAGGGGCUAUUGUCCCUUGAUUAGGGGACCCUGCCCCAAAACUGGCCUCAGAAGGAGCGAUCUGGUGUCUCCAUCUGGAACACUAAUGUAUCAUUCCUGUGUGAUCUUUUGCAGAUGCGCCCCUGCCACAAAAAAUUAUCGAGGCCUAUUAUCUAGACUUGGUGUUUGUUUUCUCUCAAAGGAAAAAAAUGUGUUGGAGAGAGCAAAGUGAGCAAGGGUUAGUCUGUAAGAAGUACUAUGCGGUAGAGUGGUAGACUAUCUGUGCUCCAGUUUGGACUUUGCACGUGGGAGUCAGGGGAACAAGGGAAUUAAACCUCUAAUUCCAUCGCCCCAAAUCCCAAUCUCUCCAUUCUUCUUCUAUUCCCUGCAAAUCGCCUUACUUUAUUGCGCUGCGCUUUAGAUUAAUGCCCAAUCUUGCGCUCUUGUCUUGGCUAUGGGAAUGACUUUUGUUACUUUACUCGUCCCGAUUAGAGAUCUCAGCCUAGGUGAAUUUGAAAGCUGAGUUACUAAUUAGUGACUUUGCGUGGCAGCUCGUCUUGAAGUUUCUUAACGAGCUAGCACAUUGUCAACUGUCUGUCCAGUCAGACAACUGGUAACUUUCUGGAUAUAUGGUUAAGGUGUAGCAUUUCAUUCGCAAAAGGUGUAGCAUUUCGGUAUGAUGUACUACUACUUUCUGGAUCUAUAUAUAUAGUAGUAUAUGACAAUUAACGUACGACUAUGAGAUUUUAUAUGCGUUUUCUAGAGGUUAUAUAUAAGUCACAUAAAGUUUUCUGCAUAGGAAUUAGGAUCUCUACGUAUCAUGAUUGACCAUAUAAUUACAGCUAAUUACAGCGUAUGUAGGAAGGCGUACGUCAUGAAACUCACACGGGGUAAAAGAUCACAUAUAUACGGGCCGGGGGAUGGCGUAUUUGAAGUGCUACAUGUACUACAGUGCAGCACAUUGAUCAAGGUGACAUAGGGAAUCAAAGCAACGUAGAGACACAGUCACUGCAUGCACAGCUAGCUAGGAAGAAAUGAAUUAAGACACGAAAACUUCCACGUACGCGCUUGCGCAUGGGGUUCGUGAUUUAUCUCUCAUCUCUGCGUCGUAGUCACGCAUGUAGGAGUACCUACGUACGCACGAUGGCAAGCUAGCUAGCCAGCAAUUCGUGGAACGUCGGCACAACGAUCGAGAGUGACCCUCUCUGAGUAGAAGAGCACUAAUAUUGUUUGGGGAAAAAGGGGGAGGAGACGGUUGGAAAUAUGAGCAAUUUACCAUAUGAUUUUAUUAACGGAAAUACUAGAUAAAGCAUGACUAAAGUAGCAGAGAUAAAUCAAGUCAUGCGAUCUGACAAAGAGAAGGUAGAUAACAUCUGCAAAUAUAAACUAGAACCGAACAUCUCUAGAGUAGACAGUAGACCAAGUAGCAUAUAUGAAGUAGAACCUAUCAUGUGUAGGGCAAGGACUAGAACAAGGAACUGUGACAGAACCUCUAACAGGAAAAACAAGAACACGUACGGGACAACAGCUGCAACAGUAGCACUGGACUUGGGGUCGGUGUCCUCGGUAGCCAUGUCGUGGAGGAGGUUGUCGACGUUGGGGAAGUAGUCGUCGUCGGGGUCCGGGGUGUCCGUGACGAAGAAGUCAGUAGUCGCGCAGAGCGCUCCCCAAAAACCUUAUCACCCUUCUCCCGUACAGGACUCAAAGAGGUGCGGUUUCGGAGGCCUACUGUCCCGACCUGCGGUGCACGCCGCAAGCCGGGAUGAGGAAGAUCGUAGCAGCAGCACAGUGUUCAGGAACCGGUGGCGAGAGGAAGAAUGAGUUCUGGUGCGUCUCUCAACCCGCAACCCGCGGCGCGUCGUGACGAGGCGGGCGGCGGAGGAGGAGCGCGUGUGGAUGUCCCUCUUGUUCUCAUGCUCAUACAAGUGGGGAAAGAACCUCCCUUAUAAGGAGGUCCAACUCCCACUAAACUAGCAAUGUGGGACUAAACUUUAGUAGUAUCCCUUGCCUUGCACAAAUGGGCUAAGUGGGCCUCUAGGAUUUAUUAGGAAUUUCUGAAAUAGUUAUUGGGCUGCCCAAAAUAGACUAAAUUCUAGCAAUCCCCCACCAGAUCCCAGAGGCACACAGAAAUUUGCCUUUGGUUCCAAAACACUGUUUUAUAUACCGGUACUGCAGUGGAGACUGUUAAGUUGAACUUCCACCUAGAACUCUAUGCUACACUAGUAAGCAACUUGAACAGUGGACUGGGCCUUGAACUGCAAGUUUUCUGCGAAUCUAGCUUCACAUAAAGCCUUGACCGAUACGUGGCUACCGUGGGUCUUCCCCGCGGGUGGAGCUUAUGCGUCAUACUCCGAGACCUUUCAUGAGUUUACUAAAGAGAACCCUACUCUCAUAGAUUGCGACGUUUGACAAUCAGACUCAUAUAGGUGUGUUCUUCAAAAGAUGUUCUGCAGGACAACAUCUUUGCUUAAAUGAGCCACUUAGAACAUAUUAAGAUAUACAUAAACCUGCCAUGCAGAUUAGGAGAGUAUUGCAUCUUCAUGGAGUGGUAGUGUUGAUAGUAAGGAUACUCUCCUCUCAGUUGACCAACAGCUUGUGUUCCACAUCUAAUUCACGGGAUCUCCGAUCACAAAGAAUAGGUUACCACUGUGAACAACUCAUAUUGUGGGUCUCAUACCCAUCUCCCUUGAUGCAUUAUCUAUCACAUUACGUGAUAGACCCUUAGUAAAGGAUCUGCCAGAUUUUUAGACGUUUGGAUAUAAUCCAAUGCAAUAACUCCGGAGUUUCUCAUUUUCCUGACAGACUUUAACCUUCUCUGAACGUGUCUCGAUGACUUCAUGUUAUCCUUUGAGCUGCUCACUUUCGUGAUCACAGUUUGAUUGUCGCAGUUCAUAAGGAUACCCGGUACAGGUUUCUCAACAACCGGCAAGUCAUUCAAGAGCCGACGAAGCCAGUCUGCUUCGACCGUAGCUAUAUCUGGUGUUGUGAGUUUUGCUUCCAUUGUUGACCUCGUUAAGAUGGUCUGCUUGCAAGACUUCCAAGAAACAGCGCCACCUCCAUGAGUGAAUACAUAUCCGCUCGUGGCCUUUAUCUCAUCAGCAUCUGAGAUCCAGUUUGAGUCACUAUACCCUUCAAGCACCUUUGGGUGCCCGGUGUAGUGAAUUCCAUAAUUUGCAGUGCCUUUCAAAUAACGCAAAACUCUCUCUAGAGCUUUCCAAUGCACAUCUUCUGGUUUUGAGACAAACCGACUCAGUUUGCUAACAGCAAAAGAGAUGUCAGGCCUUGUAGCACUUGCUAAGUACAUAAGCGAGCCAAUAAUCUGAGAAUAUUUCAAUUGAUCUCUAGCAAUUCUUCGACUCUUUCGAAGUAACACACUCGCAUCAUAUGGUGUUGGAGAGGGCUUGCAGUCACUAUAGCCAAAGCGACUCAAGAUCUUUUCCACAUAAUGAGAUUGAAGCAAUGUAAUCCCACCAUCAUCGUCUCUCAACAACUUGACGUUCAGAAUGACAUCAGCCACUCCUAAAUCCUUCAUCUCAAAACAGCGACCUCCUUAAUAACAUUCAGAUUUGUUCCGAAAAUUAGUAUGUCAUCAACACACAAGCAAAGGAUAACUCCCUCGCCCCCACCAUGGCGAUAGUACACACAUUUGUCAGCUUCGUUUACAACAAAGCCUGCAGCUGUUAAAGUUCUUUCAAACUUCUCAUGCCACUGUUUGGGUGCUUGCUUGAGUCCAUACAACGACUUCAGCAACUUGCACACUUUCCCUUCCUGACCAUCUAUUACAAACCCAUCUGGUUGUUCCAUAUAAAUUUCCUUGUCCAACUCUCCAUUUAGGAAAGCAGUCUUAACAUCCAUUUGAUGAACGAGAAGACCAUGUGAGGCAGCUAGUGAAAGUAGAACUCGAAUAGUGGUCAGUCGAGCCACAGGUGAGUAAGUAUCAAAGAAGUCUUCACCUUCCUUUUGGGUAUAACCCUUAGCCACGAGCCGAGCCUUGUACAUUUCAAUAGUACCAUCAGGCCUAACCUUCUUCUUGAAUACCCAUUUGCACCAGAUUGGCCCUAGAUCCUCCCUCAAUACCUCGAGCACAUGUAUCCUUUGCUCUCGCAUUUUCUUCCACAUCAAGAGUGCCAAUGAGAUCCGGGACGGAAAACUCCUGUCUCUUAUGUUUCAGUAAGGUAGCAAAGUUCCUCCACGAAGGAGGAAGCUUAGUGAUGAUACCUCCGGCAACAAACUUGUCCGGUAGCAUACAACUGAAGUGCUCAAGUUCUCUAGCAAAUGACUGUAUCUCAUGAGCUUGCUCAACCAUGGAGCGGUCUUCAGUCAUCCUGUAAUCAUAGAAUUGCUCCAUGAUGUACAGCUCAGUGCCAGCAUCCGAGACCCCAAACUUGGCCUCGAGUGCAUCCCACAUAUCUUUUCCAUUAUCAAUUGAAGCAUAAGCAUCAACUAUGUUCUCACCAAGAACACUCAAGAGAGCAGCCUUAAACAGAGUAUCCAUUUUCUGAAAAGCUUGUGCCUGUUGAGCAUCAAGCUCUCCUUCAGGUUUGCCAAGAGUGGCGUCAUAGCAACUCAUGGUUUGAAACCAUAAGACUGCUCUCACGCGCCACCUCUUAUAGUGGAUACCCUCAAACAUAGGAGGUCUCAUGGAAGCAGCAAAACCACUCGGGGUAAAUUGCCUAUAAUAAGGUUUUUGGAUUGUUGGAAAUAUGAGCAAUUUACCAUAUGAUUUUAUUAACGGAAAUACUAGAUAAAGCAUGACUAAAGUAGCAGAGAUAAAUCAAGUCAUGCGAUCUGACAAAGAGAAGGUAGAUAACAUCUGCAAAUAUAAACUAGAACCGAACAUCUCUAGAGUAGAUAGUAGACCAAGUAGCAUAUAUGAAGUAGAACCUAUCAUGUGUAGGGCAAGGACUAGAACAAGGAACUGUGGCAGAACCUCUAACAGGAAAAACAAGAACACGUACGGGAUAGCAGCUGCAACAGUAGCACUGGACUUGGGGUCGGUGUCCUCGGUAGCCAUGUCGUGGAGGAGGUUGUCGACGUCGGGGAAGUAGUCGUCGUCGGGGUCCGGGGUGUCCGUGACGAAGAAGUCAGUAGUCGCGCAGAGCGCUCCCCAAAAACCUUAUCACCCUUCUCCCGUACAGGACUCAAAGAGGUGCGGUUUCGGAGGCCUACUGUCCCGACCUGCGGUGCACGCCGCAAGCCGGGAUAAGGAAGAUCGUAGCAGCAGCACAGUGUUCAGGAACCGGUGGCGAGAGGAAGAAUGAGAUCUGGUGCGUCUCUCUGAGAGGAGCGACCUCCCUUUUAUAGGCGCAAGAGAAGGAGGCGAGAGGCUGCGCCGGAAGCUGAAGGGAACGUGGGAGAUGAAACGAACGGGCAGCAGCCGAAGGGUGCAACGUUCGUAUUCAAUAUCCACUACAGCAAAAACUUUCCAGCUCCCGAGUGGCCUUUCGUAUACCCGUAGUGCGUGGCAAAAAUUUAGACAUUGGCUCGGCUCAUUCCCGCAACCCGCGACGCGUCGUGACGAGGCGAGGCGAGGCGAGGUGGGCGGCGGAGGAGGAGCACGCGUGGAUGUCCCUCUUGUUCUCAUGCUCAUACAAGUGGGGAAAGAACCUCCCUUAUAAGGAGGUCCAACUCCCACUAAACUAGCAAUGUGGGACUAAACUUUAGUAGUAUCCCUUGCCUUGCACAAAUGGGAUAAGUGGGCCUCUAGGAUUUAUUAGGAAUUUCUGAAAUAGUUAUUGGGCUGCCCAAAAUAGACGAAAUUCCAGCAAUCCCCCACCAGAUCCCAGAGGCACACAGAAAUUUGCCUUUGGUUCCAAAACACUGUUUUAUAUACCGGUACUGCAGUGGAGACUGUUAAGUUGAACUUCCACCUAGAACUCUAUGCUACACUAGUAAGCAACUUGAACAGUGGACUGGGCCUUGAACUGCAAGUUUUCUGCGAAUCUAGCUUCACAUAAAGCCUUGACCGAUACGUGGCUACCGUGGGUCUUCCCCGCGGGUGGAGCUUAUGCGUCAUACUCCGAGACCUUUCAUGAGUUUACUAAAGAGAACCCUACUCUCAUAGAUUGCGACGUUUGACAAUCAGACUCAUAUAGGUGUGUUCUUCAAAAGAUGUUCUGCAGGACAACAUCUCUGCUUAAAUGAGCCACUUAGAACACAUUAAGAUAUACAUCAACCUGCCAUGCAGAUUAGGAGAGUAUUGCAUCUUCAUGGAGUGGUAUUGUUGAUAGUAAGGAUACUCUCCUCUCAGUUGACCAACAGCUUGUCUUCCAUAUCUAAUUCACGGGAUCUCCGAUCACAAAGAAUAGGUUACCACUGUGAACAACUCAUAUUGUGGGUCUCAUACCCAUCUCCCUCGAUGCAUUAUCUAUCACAUUACGUGAUAGACCCUUAGUAAAAGUAUCUGCCAGAUUUUUAGACGUUUGGAUAUAAUCCAAUGCAAUAACUCCGGAGUUUCUCAUUUUCCUGACAGACUUUAACCUUCUCUAAACGUGUCUCGAUGACUUCAUGUUAUCCUUUGAGCUGCUCACUUUCGUGAACACAGUUUGAUUGUCGCAGUUCAUAAGGAUACCCGGUACAGGUUUCUCAACAACCGGCAAGUCAUUCAAGAGCCGACGAAGCCAAUCUGCUUCGACCGUAGCUGUAUCUAGUGCUGUGAGUUCUGCUUCCAUUGUUGGCCUGGUUAAGAUGGUCUGCUUGUAAGACUUCCAAGAAACAGCGCCACCUCCAUGAGUGAAUACAUAUCCGCUCGUGGCCUUUAUCUCAUCAGCAUCUGAGAUCCAGUUUGAGUCGCUAUACCCUUCAAGCACCUUUGGAUGCCCGGUGUAGUGAAUUCCAUAAUUUGCAGUGCCUUUCAAAUAACGCAAAACUCUCUCUAGAGCUUUCCAAUGCACAUCUUCUGGUUUUGAGACAAACCGACUCAGUUUGCUAACAGCAAAAGAGAUGUCAGGCCUUGUAGCACUUGCUAAGUACAUAAGCGAGCCAAUAAUCUGAGAAUAUUUCAAUUGAUCUCUAGCAAUUCUUUGAUUCUUUCGAAGUAACACACUCGCAUCAUAUGGUGUUGGAGAGGGCUUGCAGUCACUAUAGCCAAAGCGACUCAAGAUCUUUUCCACAUAAUGAGAUUGAAGCAAUGUAAUCCCACCAUCAUCGUCUCUCAACAACUUGAUGUUCAGAAUGACAUCAGCCACUCCUAAAUCCUUCAUCUCAAAACAGCGAGAUAGAAAAUCCUUGACCUCCUUAAUAACAUUCAGAUUUGUUCCGAAAAUCAGUAUGUCAUCAACAUACAAGCAAAGGAUAACUCCCUCGCCCCCACCAUGGCGAUAGUACACACAUUUGUCAGCUUCGUUUACAACAAAGCCUGCAGCUGUUAAAGUUCUUUCAAACUUCUCAUGCCACUGUUUGGGUGCUUGCUUGAGUCCAUACAACGACUUCAGCAACUUGCACACUUUCCCUUCCUGACUAUCUAUUACAAACCCAUCUGGUUGUUCCAUAUAAAUUUCCUCGUCCAACUCUCCAUUUAGGAAAGCAGUCUUAACAUCCAUUUGAUGAACGAGAAGACCAUGUGAGGCAGCUAGUGAAAGUAGAACUCGAAUAGUGCUCAGUCGAGCCAUAGGUGAGUAAGUAUCAAAGAAGUCUUCACCUUCCUUUUGGGUAUAACCCUUAGCCACGAGCCGAGCCUUGUACUAUUCAAUAGUACCAUCAGGCCUAAGCUUCUUCUUGAAUACCCAUUUGCACCAGAUUGGCACUAGAUCCUCCCUCAAUACCUCGAGCACAUGUAUCCUUUGCUCUCACAUUUUCUUCCACAUCAAGAGUGCCAAUGAGAUCCGGGACGGAAAACUCCUGUCUCUUAUGUUUCAGUAAGGUAGCAAAGUUCCUCCACGAAGAAGGAAGCUUAGUGAUGAUACCUCCGGCAACAAACUUGUCUAGUAGCAUACAACUGAAGUGCUCAAGUUCUCUAGCAAAUGACUGUAUCUCAUGAGCUUGCUCAACCACGGAGCGCUCUUCAGUCAUCCUGUAAUCAUAGAAUUGCUUCAUGAUGUACAGCUGAGUGCCAGCAUCCGAGACCCCAAACUUGGCCUCGAGUGCAUCCCACAUAUCUUUUCCAUUAUCAAUUGAAGCAUAAGCAUCAACUAUGUUCUCACCAAGAACACUCAAGAGAGCAGCCUUAAACAGAGUAUCCAUUUUCUGAAAAGCUUGUGCCUGUUGAGCAUCAAACUCUCCUUCAGGUUUGCCAAGAGUGGCGUCAUAGCAACUCAUGGUUUGAAACCAUAAGACUGCUCUCACGCGCCACCUCUUAUAGUGGAUACCCUCAAACAUAGGAGGUCUCAUGGAAGCAGCAAAACCACUCGGGGUAAAUUGCCUAUAAUAAGUUUUUGGAUUGUUGGAAAUAUGAGCAAUUUACCAUAUGAUUUUAUUAACGGAAAUACUAGAUAAAGCAUGACUAAAGUAGCAGAGAUAAAUCAAGUCAUGCGAUCUGACAAAGAGAAGGUAGAUAACAUCUGCAAAUAUAAACUAGAACCGAACAUCUCUAGAGUAGAUAGUAGACCAAGUAGCAUAUAUGAAGUAGAACCUAUCAUGUGUAGGGCAAGGACUAGAACAAGGAACUGUGGCAGAACCUCUAACAGGAAAAACAAGAACACGUACGGGACAUCAGCUGCAACAGUAGCACUGGACUUGGGGUCGGUGUCCUCGUUAGCCAUGUCGUGGAGGAGGUUGUCGACGUCGGGGUCCGGGGUGUCCGUGACGAAGAAGUCAGUAGUCGCGCAGAGCGCAGUGUUCAGGAACCGGUGGCGAGAGGAAGAAUGAGUUCUGGUGCGUCUCUCUGAGAGGAGCGACCUCCCUUUUAUAGGCGCAAGAGAACCUCCCUUAUAAGAAGGUCCAACUCCCACUAAACUAGCAAUGUGGGACUAAACUUUAGUAGUAUCCCUUGCCUUGCACAAUUGGGUUAAAUGGGCCUCUAGGAUUUAUUAGAAAUUUCUGAAAUAGUUAUUGGGCUACCCAAAAUAGACUAAAUUCCAUCAAAGACUAACAAAAUCUCCUCGUGUGCACUCUCUGCGAUCUGCCGACACCUGUCUAACCGAAGUGACAGGUGUCUGACACUCACCCGUGUUCAUGACUCGCGCGAUGGCUUCUUGGCACGUUCUGCACGACCUCGACACAUUUCUAAGAUCGAGCGGAACACGCCGAGAAGCGAAAAGGAGCCGAGGGAAGGAGCGAUGCAUGUGGCGAAAGGAUUACAUGGGAUGCUCUAGCUUGACAGGUGGCGGUAGAUCGUAGAGGGCACACACAAGAGGAGAUCUGCGUACGGUCUCCACCAAUUUUUUCCCUAUCGUGUUGACAUGAUGAUAUAUCAAUAUCAACUAAAACAGAAUCAUCUAAUGGUCGGCGUGUUCUUAAGACUCAUUUAGUUUGCCAUGUGUAUAAUUUUUUUUAUAUACACACAUACUAUUCCUAACGACUUCUCGUCGUUUUUUGCCCACAAGAUUAGUCAUGUUUUCGGUAGUAUCUUUCCUAUGGCGCUCCAUAUGUGUUAAAAAUUAGGGUAGUGCUUGCCCUAGACCUCGCCACCCGAUCUAAUCCCCCCUAGCUUGCUUGCGUGUGUACUCUUGGGUGUAGCUGCCACCGCCGUGAGUGUUGUUGGUGCCGAGGAACUUCAUUGCAUCAUCGCCACCCCCUCCCCUUGUAGUAGCGCAGUGAUAGGUUGCAGCAACACUAACAAUCUUUGUAGCAUCCUCGGUUACCGCAUCGGCGACGGUACUUUGCAACACCGACGCUGCCCCUUUUAAGCGUCGGUGGUGUCCCCAUUUUGGCAGUUCAUGACGGCUUGCAGCACUAGUGCCAGUCUUGUAGCACCCCGAUGGCCUCUGCAUCAUUACGAUGCACACAACCAUAUUUCAUUAAAGUUCAAGACCAUCAAUCUCUAACACCAACAUAGUACUCAAAAAUAAAAAACAAGCCACAACCAGCACAAAUCUAGAUAUUUUUUACCCUCACUAAUGUGUAAAGGCGUAGAUAUUUUUUGGUGAGCUAUGUGUUUCCAAACCAAAUAAUCCUCCCAGAAUCUCACUUGAGAGCCAUCUUUGUUGUUAAACAUCCCAAGCCGUAAAAAAUCCCGUUUUACAUUCAUCAGGCCGGGCCACAAAUUAGACUCCCUGAUUCCACUCUACCUAAGACUCUUGGAUCUCCCAAGUAUUUAUUUUGGAUAAGUUCCUGUCACAUGCCGUCCUCCUUGAUUAACUUAGACAACCUUGUUGCAUUGUUGACUGAAGUACCUGAUUAUUUCUCUUACUUGCAUUGUUGGCUGAAGUGCCUCUUACGCUAUCUAGCGCGCUCGCUUCGAUGCACAAAUGCUCUUACAGGAAUCUGGUCAAUAUGCGAGGUUCAGCUAGACAAAACUGAUUAGAAUAUAUCACAGAUAACGGAUUAUUGUAAAUUUAUCUGUUCAUUCCAAGUUAGCAACUGAUCCGUAGCAGGUAGAUUAUCCUCACAAAAUUAACUGUCCAGACACUUCGUGAAGUUGAAGGAGGUUUUAUGUUAGGUUGAUCUCUCCACCAAUGGGCCCAACGGCUCAUUGGGCCCUUGACCCACGCCCUGAUCGGGGGCGUCCAGCCCAAGCAAGGCUGGUGGGCCCUGUCGCGCAGUGCUAUAAAGAGGAGGUGGGGACCAGGGGCACGGGGUACGAGGUUCGUCACCGCCACUGUUCCCCACUCCUAACCCUAUCCGAUCCAGAGGGAGGCACUGAAGCGAUGGGAAGCUCCACCGCUGCCACUCAUGCACUUCACCGUCGACCUCUACACCGACCGUCGCUGCCCGUGCGCAGUCCUCCAUCGACGAACCAGCAAUGGCCGGAACGCUAAGGUAAACACCCGAAUACAGACAAUAUCCCACUGAUCUACUCCUAGUCGAUCCAGUAAGUCAAUCAAUGGUAUCUAAGAGCCAGUCUAGUGAGUACAUCAAGUUGGGAAAGAAAGAUUCGGAAACGAAUCAAAAGAGAAAAGAAAACGAACACAGAUACGAUUUCGAUCUCGGAUCGAAGCAGAUAGAGAGAAAAGAACUCCUCGUCGGAAAAGUUGCGCCGCCGCAACGGCCGCGUCAUUCCUCUCGAUUCGGACGCGCAUCGGCAAGCCGAGGCGUCGGACGAAGAACAACCGGAGCUAGCUCAACGUUAUGCCGGCAAAGAAAAGAAAAAAGACAAAAAAAAGAGAGAGGGAGGCACCGCGGCCCAACCGCUUGACGGCGGCGCGCUCACCCCAAGGGGAACGCACCACCGGCGAAGGGAUCGGCAACGGCGCCGCCACUCCACACCGUCGGGCGCUACAAGGGAGCAGAGGUGGCCUCGGCCUCGCAUCUUUCUCUCUAUCAAAGGAAGAAAAGGGGAAGGGGAAAGUGGAGAAUGGGUGCUCGCGCGCUGCCGUGGCGACGCCGUCGCCGGCGGCCGACGGGGCCCUCGGUGUCUCUCUCUUUUUCUCUGUCGCAGGAGGCGGAGGAAGAAAGAGAUGGAGAAAGAAAAGGAAGGAAGGGAGCUCGAGCGGCGCAGCACGGCGCGGUGGUGCGUCACCGUCGCCGGCGACCGGCGCGGCACGGUGACCGAGUGGCCGGCGUCGAGCGCAACGGCUCAUUUCGGGAGCGAGAGAAGAGCGGCGCGAGAGGGAAAGAAUGGCCUAGGGUUCGUCCCGAGCGGCGCGGUUGGUUGUUUCGUUCGAUCGCAUCGCGCGCGCGGCCGUCGGAUCGCGGUGAACGGCCAGGAUCAAAACCCUAGUGCACAGCGGGCUUCUUGGGCCGAAAGUAUAGGCGGGUCCAGGCCGGCUGGGCCGCGCGCUGGGCCGAGGCCUUAGCCGCACGCCGUUGCUGCUGCAGAUUUUGUCCAGUUUCUGGGCAGAUUUUAAAUAGCUUUCCUAUGCAAUUUUUUCCAACGAAAAUUUUGUCUAGAAAAUAGAAAAGUGACAGAAAAAGUUUCUGAAAAUGCAAAUAGAAAAUUUUCAGAAAAAGAAAAGUUCAUGAAUUUUAUAAAGAAAAUUAAAAAGUUCAUGAUUUUGUUUAUUCGGUCAAAUAAAAGUUCUAUAAAGAAUAUAAAGUCCAUGAAUUUUUUAUUCAUGUUUUCCGCUGCAAAAUAAAGAAAAGUGCUCUUUUAAAAGAAAAAUAAAAUUGUUUUUGAAUAGAAUAUUGUAAAGUUUCCGCUGCAAAGUAAAAGUUUGAUCCUCCAAUUAAAUUGGAACCAACGGGAAAAUUUAAUUGGAAGAACUGUUCUUAGCAUUGUUUUUCCCCUGUGGGUGAAAUAAGAUCCAGGUGAAAUAAGAUGCAUAUAGUUUCCGCUAUGACAAAAGAAAGAUAUUUGUUUUAAAGUUAAAAUAUGGUAUUGUUAUUUUCUGACUAACGUUGAUGAUAACAAUACUAUAAUUCUAUGAGUCUAAUGUUCAAAGCUUAAACUCUGAUAAAUUUUGUGUCAAAGUGAUCAAUUUUCAGAGAACAGUUAAAGAUGAACUAGAGAAAUGCAUAUUUCUUGUUUCCGCUGCAAUAAAGUUGAUGAUGAUGAUUAUUUCUUAGCAAAGUUGUUUAAUAGAAAUACUAUCAUCACAUUGUUUAUGAGUUAUAUGCAUUAUUUCCAUUUCCGCCCAACGGUGAUAUGGAAUUAAUGUAGAAGAACGAGUUUUAUUCUAAUUCUACCACAACGGUGAUUUAGAGUAUAAAGAAAGUUUUAAAAAGUUUAAUGUGCAUAUUUUUUUAACCAGACCAACGUAGGGUUAUUUUUUAUGCUCAUUAUUGUUGAUUAUUGGCUAAGUUUUCUCAAACUAAAAGUUUUCCAUGCUUUCAUUCGUGAAAGCGAAUGGCUAGGUACUUGUUACCCGAAAGAUGACCAAGAAAGGUCAUAACGUGAGGGAGUAUGUUCUCUCUAAAGAAUGGCUUCAAAAGAAAAGAAUUCUUGGAUAUUAAUCCAAGAAAAGAAAACAAAUAGAUCAUUGAGAGUCUUGGUUGACGAAUGUCUUUCAUGUAUUCUAUAGGAAGAAGAUUUUUCAGUCAACACUUUUUGAGAUGAAACAAGCAACAUGCGUGUUUAAUUUGACCAACGUCGGAUUAAGCAUGUGUGUCAAAGAGCGUUCGGAUUUAUUCCUGAAUUUCAUGAUUGCAUAUGCAGUCAAAAGAGCCAAUUCUGGCAUUUAUGUUCCUUACAGGGAAUUACCCGCAUAGCGGGAAAAGAGGAUUAUGAUAAAACCCGCAUGGCGGGGAAAGCCUGAGAAAAUACCAGCGUAACUGGGUAAAGUUGACAUAGUAUUAUGUCAAAAAUCCUAUACGUCAGGAGAAAUUUUGGCUAAGACUUAUCCUGUGUGACAGGAGAAAGAUAUGAUGACUCAUGUGCGUUUAAUGUGUCCCACUCUGGGAGAAAGUAUGGAGUAGCUAUUAUGCUUUCCUAGUAUCGACCGUACACCUUAUGUGCAACGGUCAUCCAAAGAGAAUAAAAGUUACAGACGAACCUAAAGAUAAGAAUGAUAUGCAAGUGUGAUGUGACGUCCCCGAUUUGACCGUACACUAAUCAUGCACGCAAAUGUGUACGACCAAGAUCAGGGACUCACGGGAAGAUAUCACAACACAACUCUAAAACAUAAAUAAGUCAUACAAGCAUCAUAAUACAAGCCAGGGGCCUCGAGGGCUCGAAUACAAGUGCUCGAUCACAGACGAGUCAGCGGAAGCAACAAUAUCUGAGUACAGACAUAAGUUAAACAAGUUGCCUUAAGAAGGCUAGCACAAAAGUAGCAACGAUCGAAGAGGCAAGGCCUCCUGCCUGGGACCUCCUAACUACUCCUGGUCGUCGUCAGCGGCCUGCACGUAGUAAUAGGCACCUCCAGUGUCGUAGGUGUCGUCGUCGACGGUGGCGUCUGGCUCGUGGACUCCAACAUCUGGUUGCGACAACCAGAUAGAUAGGAAAGGGGGAAAGAGGGAGAGAAGCAACCGUGAGUACUCAUCCAAAGUACUCGCAAGCAAGGAGCUACACUACAUAUGCAUGGUUAUAUGUGUAAAGGGGCAUAUCAAUGGACUGAACUGCAGAAUGCCAGAAUAAAAGGGGGAUAGCUAGUCCUGUCGAAGACUACGCUUCUGGUCAUCUCCAUCCUGCAGCAUGUAGAAGAGAGUAGAUUGAAGUCCUCCAAGUAGCAUCGCAUAGCAUAAUCCUACCCGGCGAUCCCCUCCUCGUCGCCCUGUUAGAGAGCGAUCACCGGGUUGUAUCUGGCACUUGGAAGGGUGUAUUUUAUUCAGUAUCCAGUUCUAGUUGUCAUAAGGUCAAGGUACAACUCCGGGUCAUCCUUUUACCGAGGGACACGGCUAUUCGAAUAGAUAAACUUCCCUGCAGGGGUGCACCACAUAACCCAACACGCUCGAUCCCAUUUGGCCGGACACACUUUCCUGGGUCAUGCCCGGCCUCGUAAGAUCAACACGUUGCAGCCCCACCUAACUAAGCACAGCAGACGGACAAGAAUGUAGGGCCACUGAUGGAAAACUAGCAUCCUAUACUAAGCAUGUAGGAUUGCAGGUAAAGGUAUCAACAGUAGUAGCAAGGAUAGGCUAUGCAUCAGGAUAGGAUAUCGAAAAGCAGUAACAUGCUACACUACUCUAAUGCAAGCAGUAUAGAGAAGAAUAGGCGAUAUCUGGUGAUCAAGGGGGGGCUUGCCUGGUUGCUCUGGCAAGUAGGAGGGGUCGUCGACUCCGUAGUCGAACUGGGCAGCAGCAGUGUCGGUCUCGUAGUCUACCGGAGAGAAGAGGGGGAAGAAACAGUAAAUACAAUGCAAACAUAAGCAUGACGAUGCGUGGCAUGACAAUGAGCGGUGCUAGGGGUGUCCUAACGCGACAGUAGGUGGUACCGGUGAAGGGGGGGAACAUCCGGGAGGUAUUCCCGAUGUUUCGCGUUUUCGGACAGACGGACCGGAGGGGGAAAGUUGCUAGUUCGAUAGGUUAGGGAGGUGUGGUGGACGAACGGACUGCGUAUUUGGAUUCGUCUCAUCGUUCUGAGCAACUUUCAUAUAGAAAACAUUUUCAUCCGAGUUACGGUUUAAAAGAUAUGAAUUUUCAAAGUUUAUUUGAAUUUCUGGAAUUAUUUAAAUUAAGCAAAAAUGAAUUAUGAUGUCAGCAUGAGGCAAUGCUGACGUCAGCAGGUCAGCAGGUCGGCUGACCAGUCAAACCAGACAGGUGGGUCCAGUGGGACCCACAUGUCAGCCUCUGUUAGUCUAAUAUUUGUUUAAACUAAACUAACAGUCUAAUUAGAGGGGUGGGCCCCAUAUGUCAGUGAGUGAUUAGUUAAUCUAAUUAUUUUUAUUUAUAAAACAUUUUUUCUUUUUUUUUUCUUUUUUUUUAUUUUUGCGGCGGGGCCCGCACGUCAGUGACUGGGCCUGCCCAGUCAGCACGUUGACCCAGUCAACGGGGCCCACGGGGCCCACUGGCAGGGGCACUGGGGUGGCCCCAGGCCAGCCACGUCAGCGUCAGGUCAGUACGGCGGCCGGAGCAACUCCGGCGAGCCAAACGCGGCGGCGCGGCUCGGGAGGGGUGCGGGUUUCACGCACAGGGGGUUUGCGGGGGCGUGGCUGGGCGCGUUCGACGCGGCUCGGCGCCGCGCGUCCAACGGNNNNNNNNNNNNNNNNNNNNNNNNNNNNNNNNNNNNNNNNNNNNNNNNNNNNNNNNNNNNNNNNNNNNNNNNNNNNNNNNNNNNNNNNNNNNNNNNNNNNNNNNNNNNNNNNNNNNNNNNNNNNNNNNNNNNNNNNNNNNNNNNNNNNNNNNNNNNNNNNNNNNNNNNNNNNNNNNNNNNNNNNNNNNNNNNNNNNNNNNNNNNNNNNNNNNNNNNNNNNNNNNNNNNNNNNNNNNNNNNNNNNNNNNNNNNNNNNNNNNNNNNNNNNNNNNNNNNNNNNNNNNNNNNNNNNNNNNNNNNNNNNNNNNNNNNNNNNNNNNNNNNNNNNNNNNNNNNNNNNNNNNNNNNNNNNNNNNNNNNNNNNNNNNNNNNNNNNNNNNNNNNNNNNNNNNNNNNNNNNNNNNNNNNNNNNNNNNNNNNNNNNNNNNNNCCGAGGAGGCAGGGGUGCUGGCGCCCUUAUCCUCCCCGUCGCCGGCGAGGGGGUGCGGCGGGGACGGCCACUGUUCGACCCCGGUCGGGGGAACAGGGAAGGGGGCGAGGGGGGAGAGGUGGGCUGGGCCGGGGGUCGGGGGUGGCGGCCCAGUUUGGGCCACGGGUCCAGUGGGGGGGAAAGGGCCUUCUCUCUUUUUUCUUUUUUUGUCUGUUCUGUUUUCUGUUUUCUUUUUACUUGUUUAUUUUCUUUUCUGUUUUAGUUCAUUUAAAAGUAUUUAGGUAUUUUAUAAAAAUGUGUUUUCUCCACCAUAAUUACCAGUGUAUUAUUUGGCACCCACCGAACAUUUUUGUCUAAAUUUUUGAAAACUUUUAUUUUUCACUUUAANNNNNNNNNNACCCCGGUCGGGGGAACAGGGAAGGGGGCGAGGGGGGAGAGGUGGGCUGGGCCGGGGGGUCGGGGGUGGCGGCCCAGUUUGGGCCACGGGUCCAGUGGGGGGAAAGGGCCUUCUCUCUUUUUUCUUUUUUUUUUCUCUGUCUGUUCUGUUUUCUGUUUUCUUUUUAUUUGUUUAUUUUCUUUUCUGUUUUAUUUCAUUUAAAAGUAUUUAGGUAUUUUAUAAAAAAAAUUCUCUGUCUGUUCUGUUUUCUGUUUUCUUUUUAUUUGUUUAUUUUCUUUUCUGUUUUAUUUCAUUUAAAAGUAUUUAGGUAUUUUAUAAAAAUGUGUUUUCUCCACCAUAAUUACCAGCGUAUUAUUUGACACCCACCGAACAUUUUUGUUUAAAUUUUUGAAAACUUUUAUUUUCACUUUAAUUAUAUUUGAAGUUUGAACUAGGAGUUUGAAAAGGAAGGUGAUUCAAAUGUGAUCAAGCCCUGUUUAGCAACAUGAUUAGCUUAAUCACAGGGAGUUACUGUAGCAUGAUUCUCAGGGUGUUACAUGUGACUUGCAAAAGUACUAAUGAUAAAGAACUAUUUUGAGUUUCCGCAAUGGAAUGAGGAAUAAGGAAAAAGUACUCCCAUAUCGUUAACAGAUAACUUCAUUACAUAUGAAGUAAUCAGAUACAUGAAGUAGAUACUCGAAGUUUCCUCAAUUCACAAGAGUUGUGAAUGGUUUUUCGAAAUUGUGGCAGAAAAGUUCUUGCCACAUUUCGAGGGGGAGAAAGAAAUAUGAGAUAUCCAUUAAUGAAGAAUGUGAUCAUUUGGGGGAGUACGACGAUCAUAAUAAUACCCCUAAAGAAAAGAAAUAGAUGUAUUCCUGGAUCUUUUACAGUUCCGAAAGCAGACUAAGGAAUACUAAGACAGUGCUUAAAGUGCCAUAAAGAAGAAAAUUUUAACAGAAUAAACCCAAAUAAUAAAGUUUAAAGAUACGCCAUUCUUUGUGAAGAUGGAGUAAUCUAGGGGAGCAUGGUAUGAAGAUACCUAAGACUCAAAUAGAUUGUAUCUGGGGGAGCAUGUUGUAUGACCUAUACAACACCCGUUGUUAGCUCUAUAAAGGAGGAAUGAUUAAACAGGAGGUCCCUGUAAAACCUAUUGCCUCUUGGAAGUGAAAGACUACAAUUAAUUUGCCUCUUGGCAAUGACAGAGCAACAACAUCCCCAUAUGAAAGAUGUGCCAGUACCUGAGACACAGAUGGUCUCAAGGAAUGAGAAAAUCAGAUACUUCUGAUUACUAUAAAGUCUAUGUUAGUGAAAUUCAAAUGGAGGUUGAUCCCACCUCAUUUAAAGCGCUCAAUCGAGUUUUGAGAAGUGUCUGCUUAUCUAAAUGAUAAGAGACUAUGUGAGAUGAAAUGAAAUUGGUGAAUUCUGACGAUGUUCGGGACUCAUGAGUAAUUUCCAAUGGAGCCAAAACAGUAGGCUGUAAAGAGUCUACAAGGACAAUGUGACUCCAAAGGAAAUAUGUAAAGGUGUAAAACACGACUAAAAUCGAAAGGUUUGUAGCGCAUUUUACACUGAAUAGAUUACAAUGAGUGUUGGUAGCACAUCAUGAUCUGAGUUACAUCAGAUGAAAGUAAAGAACACAGGGGAUACUGACUAAAGAAGUCUUUUAUGGACUAAAGCAAUCAAAUGUUGUUUUGGGUUAAAGAAAAUGAGAGAACAAUUGUGUUUGUAUAAAGUUAUAGAAUGGGAAUUUCAUUUCCUAUAUCUUGUACAUGCGGAUAACAUUCUGCUUGUUAGUAGUGAUGUUAAUUCGACUGCAGGAGGAAAAGAAGUUCUUGUCCUCAAAGUUUAAAAGAAUGUCUCUCGUUAUAAGGAUCAAGAUUCACCGAGAAAAGAAUAAAAGGGGUAUUAGGUGUGUCGCAUGGGCAUGCUAAGGAAAGUUUCCAAAGUGUGCAUGCGAGAAAACCUACGCCUGUUCUUAUAGUAAAGGGUAAUGAUUUUGGGAACUUUAGUGUUCCAAAAGUCAAUACGAAAUAGACCAAAUGAAUAUGGUACCAUAUGCUUCAGCUGUUGGAAGCUUAAUGAAUGCAAAAGUAUAACAUUACAGUGACACAGUUCACGUAACUGGGUUGUUUUGGUAAUGUCCAGUCCAGAUAUAGAUCACUGGAAUGGAGUCAAGGAUAUCGGCCUCAUGCUGAAAGAAAUAAGUGCUCUCAAAAGAUUGUGAGUACAAAGACAGGACUCGUGAAAUAUACAGCGAAAUCCACAAUUGUCGCUGACUUUCACACUUGGAGUUUUUGUGUGGAAAAACUCUAAAGAAUGAAUCAAUUAUCAUUAAUAUGAUGUAAAGAUAAUGUACAACAUGAUAUGAGGCUGAGGGACAGGCAAAAAAGGUUAAAGAAACAAGUACCCGGAAUUGAUAAUGGUUGACAACAGCGAUAACCAUUUUAAGUUUUUCGCUCCUAUGACAACGAGUCAAGUGUUGAUGCCAAACACACUGACACAGAGUUAUGUGUUGUAAAGGAGAAAGUCCGGAAUCAUGUAGAAAUGCUUGAAGCAUAAAAGCAAUAGACAAGUGUUUGCAGAUCUGCUUAUUAAAGGCUUGCCGCCCAGUGUGUUCGGUGAACACACAGUCGACAUGGGUUUUAUGGUAUAGUCUAAGAUUUCCGGACAAUAAAAGGGCCCAAGGUUAAAGAAUCUGUUUCAAAACAGAGGAGUGUGUUGUAGGUGUUGAUUCUAUCGGGAAUGAACCGUGAUGUUGAGACAUGCUCUACAUGCAAAUCUGUGAUGGAACAAGUACUUUGAAAAGAGUUAUUUCAAAGUAUAAAGUUAAAAGUAUAAUGAUGAGAUCAAGGGGGAGAAUGUUAGGUUGAUCUCUCCACCAAUGGGCCCAACGGCUCAUUGGGCCCUUGACCCACGCCCUGAUCGGGGGCGUCCAGCCCAAGCAAGGCUGGUGGGCCCCUGUCGCGCAGUGCUAUAAAGAGGAGGUGGGGACCAGGGGCACGGGGUACGAGGUUCGUCACCGCCACUGUUCCCCACUCCUAACCCUAUCCGAUCCAGAGGGAGGCACUGAAGCGAUGGGGAAGCUCCACCGCUGCCACUCAUGCACUUCACCGUCGACCUCUACACCGACCGUCGCUGCCCGUGCGCAGUCCUCCAUCGACGAACCAGCAAUGGCCGGAACGCUAAGGUAAACACCCGAAUACAGACAAUAUCCCACUGAUCUACUCCUAGUCGAUCCAGUAAGUCAAUCAGUUUUUACGUACGUGUCAUGCACCACAUUAACUUGCAAGCUUUUGAUGAUCACACUUGGCAAUCUCACGGCCAACUACUUACUUAAUUGACAGGAUUAAAUGCAUAAAGGGCUCGUCUGAAGAAAAAUAUAAUAAUAUUUUACAAUUGAAAUUACAUGAGAAUUUGUUCAUAAUCCUGUUGGGUUGUAUGUAUGCACCAUUAUUAUCCUACAUACAAAUUUCCUUUUCUUUGGAGGAGAUUAUAGAACAUGAGUUCAAAGCUCGUGUUAAAUCACUUUGACAAGUUAAAAAGUAAGAGGGUAAUCCUUUCCCCCUUUUUAAAUUUCAGUUAGAGAAACAUUUUAUUGCCGUUUCCUGUAGAGCAUCUAAACAUUUUUUAAUAGGAAAUAGGCAAUGGUGCCCAGCUUUUUAUGUAAAGCUUAGAAAUGUCUUGCAGCUUCAGGCCUGGGGAUACCCAAGCAUCUAAACAAUUACUCUGUAAUAAUUGCAUUUUCAAUUUCUACAGGAACCCACAAGACAUUACAUCCUAUAGAGGAAUCAUUCUAUAGUAAUAUUCUGUUUCUCCUAUUAUUGUGUUUGCAAUAUUCUAUCUAAGUGGGGCUUAAAGUGGCACAAGAGUGUUAGUUGCUAAUUAAUUUAGUUUGAAUUGUAGUAUUAGAGAAUAGUUUAGAUCAGCUAUAUAAAAAGGAUAACAUGUUUGUACCAAGGUUAGCAGCUUUGUGGCCUUGGUGGUUUGCUUUAUUUAUAAAGUACUCCACAAGCAAUGGCCAUUCUCUGAUGAAACCCUUGAUGCAAACGGAUUGAUGCACUUUUUUUAGAUUAAUUGAUGCACUUCAAGUAUACAACACUUGAUGCACUUCACUGGAAGCUUAUUGUUCAAAUGGAUUGCAAAGUGACAAAUGAUGGUCAUUCUGUGAAUGAAGCCAAGAUUCCCUUUUCCCAAAUUCUCUCCAACUAAUCGACGCAUGCAUGCAUGCACAGCCACAUACUUUACUUAAAUACUCCAUCCGUUCCUAAAUAUUUGUCUUUCUAGAGAUUUCAAUAAGUGACUACAUACAGAGCAAAAUGAGUGAAUCUACAUUCUAAAAUAUGUCUAUAUACAUCCGUAUGUGGUAGUCCAUUUGAAAUCUCUAAAAGAUAAAUAUUUAGGAACGAAGGGAGUAGUAUAUAUCUUAAAAUAUAAGUGCAUGAAUGCAAUCAGUAGUUAUAUGUCUAUAUAUAAUUGGAAGCUUAGCCUCUUAGUUUGACCAAGGAAUCUCAGCAACCUAUUGGUCAAUAGUCAUGGUACGCAAGUUAGGGUAUUGUGUAGGCUAAUCCAUUGUUCUUGCACAUGGGCGCCUUUUUUUUGCGGGGCUAUUAUUAUUUACUUCUAAAUGGAUACACUACAUAUCAGAUAUAUCUUAUGAAUAUAUUAUGAGGAUUAAACAUGCAUUCACAUUUAUAAUUAUCAGGAAAUACCGUUUUGUCUUUGUUGCGGGAUUUCCCCUGAAGUGAACCCAAUGAUGAACACUCUUUACUUCAUGGACUGCCCUUCUCCGCUCACAACACCUACACAAUCAUCACUGACCAGUCGAGUGCAACUCCGACUACAUUUGGUCCUCUAAUGACCCCAUAAAAGUAAAGAUCUUCGCUUGGCUCAUUUUGAGGGAUCGUUUAAACUCCAAGGCAAACCUGUUGCACGAGUGAAUUGUUUCUUCAGCAGCUUGUCCUAGGUGUGAUGCCCUCAUGAAAGAUGCCAAGAAUAUUGUGCUCCAUUGUCCGGAAGCUUCACAAGUGUGGCUUGAUUUUGGCCUUGCUGCCCCUCCAUCCAUGUAACUCAUUUGGGAUGUGCCUUCUCGUUCGGGCCUCGACCCCAGCAUUUGGCCAAUGGUCGCUCUCACUAUUCUAUGGAAGAUUUGGGACUUAAGGAACACCACUUCAUUCCGAGCGUAGUCACAUAGCUCCAGAAGCACCAUUAGAAACAUUGUUCUAGACUUUUUGCUUUGGAUUUUUAGAUUAAAUGACAUCUCUCAAAAGGACACCGCCAUAUCUUGCAGUUGCACCUCUCCUCUCUAUUGUAACAUGGUACCUGCAAUGUUCAGGUGGUAAAUAUAUUCAGGUGGGGAACUCCCACCCACCCAGUGAUUGUUCAAAAAAUAUAUCCAGGAAAGGCCAACUAUAUAUAUGCAAUCUCGUAAUAGAUGUGAGCCUAUGGCUUGGGGACAGAAAGGACUUCAUUAUGUACCUAUGCUCAAUUCGAUUAAUUAAUUGUCCAUUGCCUUUGGUAUUUAUGCAAACAUGUUCAGAUAAUUGUUUUGUUGAACAUAAUUUUUCACUUUAGUUUUGCAUAAAAAUAUUCCAUGCAUGUUUCGAAGUUGAAACGUUGCCUAACUUACCAUUUUCAUUUUGGCCUGCUAAUUAGUCAUAUGCUUACAUACUUCGAAUACAUACAAGUUUCUGCAAACAACUAGAUUUUUCAAGUAAACCUCCCGGCCUCUACAUACUCAGAUGCACACAUCCAUAUUUUUUUUAAA
RNAcentral lists this long non-coding RNA (33564 nucleotides) under Triticum aestivum (bread wheat). RNAcentral's name for it is "long non-coding RNA (TAES_LNC018111)". Lineage: Eukaryota; Viridiplantae; Streptophyta; Magnoliopsida; Poales; Poaceae. The record is from RNAcentral.